This is a long non-coding RNA of Calidris pugnax (ruff), 4379 nucleotides long. RefSeq lists it as uncharacterized. The transcript has 8 exons. The record is from RefSeq and is a predicted model, not a curated record. NCBI's taxonomy places the organism in Eukaryota, Metazoa, Chordata, Aves, Charadriiformes, Scolopacidae.
GGAGGUGGGGGGAGGAAUGAAAGCCAAACCCGAGGCAACUUUUCUGCGUUUCUCUCCCGUUUUCCUGGGUGGAAGGUUUCUAACUCUUCCAGCGCCGUUCGCGCAAAGAAUGACACCGUGGAGCUAAGCGGCACUUUUAAAUGGGGAAAGACGUGAAUUUCUGGAGCCGUGAGAAGAGCUUUCCCCUCUCCGAAGGGGGCUCCUCGGCCGGGUGGAUCUUUGUUUGCCGCCGGAGGCUCGGCUCACCCCCUUAGACCCUGACAAAGGUGAAGAAAUAUUUAGACAUCGCAGACAGACCACAGGGAGGGACAAUCACAAGAAGCGAGCAGUGUAUGGCUAGUGACCUGUCUUCCCGAGGAGAAUGGCCAAGAUGUCUGUUUGGAAUUAUUCCUGGGAUUAGACCAGCAUGAGGUCUCCUCUACCAAUCUGAGGAUGGAUGCAGUGGCCAGAAUGCCCCCCAGGCAGUCGCCCCUAACCUAAAGCCAUCAGUGCAGACCUUAUUCACCCUGGAUGUGGGAAGGGUAUCUUCCCAAUGAAAGAUUGACACAUUUGAAUGAGGGAGUCUAUUCUUAGAUUUAAGUCUCACGUGAAAGUCCCUCAAGUGGAGAUUUUUACUCAGAGAGCUCUCUUCUGUGAGGAGAGUGCUCACACAUACGAGUUUUGGCAAGGAUGGGCCCUCAGACCGCUGUGAGAAUCCUUCCAUGGAUAAAGUUAGUGAGGGGAAAUGGAGUUUUUGAACUGACUCUCAACACUUGAUGCACAUUUGGCCGGAGGCCAAGGUGAAUCAGAAUAAACAUCCAGAAGAAAAUGCCAAAUACAAGAAAAUAACAGCAACUUAAUAUGAUUUAAUACCAAUAAAGUGAUUAAGGUGAGAUAUCUUAGCUGCAUUCCAUAAAAGCACUUAAGAUGGAUUGCUGGAAAUACAUCUACAGUCUGGAAUGCUUUGGAAACAAAAUAUUUAGCAACAAAAAAGAAAAAUUGAUUUUUAUCUGCACCAAGGAAUAUUUUGAAGGCAGAAAUUGUUGAAAAACUGUAUAGUGAGAUGUGUGGUUUGCACUGCUUUGGGGGCAGGGACAGUUCUGCUUUUGGACACCACAUGGCACAAAAAAAAGUCCCUGAGAGGGCGCUCUACUGGAAUGUAAAAUAGGUAAAAAUCCAACUCUCAGUUUACUUCCAUCAUUGUUCUAAUUUUUUUUCAAGGAUUCAUCAAUCAUCCCCAGCCUCUGAGCAAAUCCAAUAAGGCACCUUUGGCACAUGCAGUGUUUCUAGCGCUUGCAAAAUUGUGAAGUGGGUGUUUUUCAUCCUGGAGUACCAUUCUUGAGUCCUGAAGUCGGACCUGUGCAGGGAAAACCUGGAGGGUGCUCAGAGACUGCUAAUUUAAGUCCAUCAUCAGGGACCUGUUCAUUAACCCAUGCAGGUCCAAGUACUUCACCGGGUUCUUCAAGUUGGAGUAAGUCUACUGAGCUGAUACAGACUUAAAGCAAAUGGAAGAUUAAAAAGGUUCAAUAUGCUCUUGAGAUGCACAUACAACCACUGCACCAAAAGUUAUUUUGCUUGCUUACUUACCAACUUAUUUAUUUAUUUUAGGUGGGAUUUAACAGUAACUUUUACUUGAGCCCCUUCAUGAUUUACCUGUUGCGCUGUGUACCGAAAAUACAGCUCUUCUAUCAAGUUGCUAUUCGCUUGCUUUGUUGCUUUUAGCUCCAUGGGCCCCAGUGGACAAAUCAGUUCAUGACAUUAUUUCAUUCUAAACAUAUAUAAACUCCAGAAACAGGAUAAUUUACAGCCAUUCACAAUUUUGAAAUGGAAAUCAACAGGGAAAAGCCAUAACCAGGACCUAAAGCAUGAUUUUCCUAUUUUCUAAUAUUUAUAAACUAUAUCUUAGAAUUAAAAUACUUUGUUUCUAUGAAAAGUGGUUAUGUAUAUUUCAUUCUUUAAAGGUUUCUUAGAGAACUAUGUUCAUUUUCUCUAUGAAAUUAUUGUUUUUUCAAAAUUUCUUGCUUUAUCAUUGCAUUUCUUAUGCUCAGCAAUAAUAUUAUAGCUUUAUAUAUUUUUCAAUGAAAACCCUCUUGGCAGUUUCAGCUCACCUGUAUUUUUAUUGCUAGCUUAAAUUAAUUUUUCAAGUGUAGAGUUUAGCUUUUUAGAAAUCCUGUACAUCCUUUUCAGACAAAAUCUUUGUUGAAGUUGCAUGAAGCAAAGAUUAGAAACCUGAGGUGUGAGAUUAGCUCUGUGCAUGUGUGUAACGCAGCCUCCAAUCAUUUUUGAUGCCAUGUCCUCCUGGCUAUUCAGAGCACUUUUCCCACCAAUACAAUCUGACUUUUGAUGUAAUUAAUAUAUAGUUCUUUCCCAAUUUUUGUAAUAAAAUAAACAACUCAUAUUGGUUAAACAUAACUCUUUGGUUGGAUUCCUAAAUUCUUUAAAAUUCCCAUUCCUAGGCCUUUCAGGAAGUUCAGCUGAUGAAAAAACUCCUCUUUUUGAUCCUGAUCUAUUUUAAUUUGGGUAUUAUGGUAAUGGGUAAGUUCUGUGCAAGCCUAUCCUGUCACAAUAGAAGAAUUAAAAAUAGCAAAGUACUAUUAAUUUUUAAAAAGUUUUUUUAGGCGUUUGGGACCACACAAUAUACGACCACAGCAUGUCCGUCCCUGUUUGUAGGAUAAAUGGCUUUGAGAGGUGUGAAUUUAUUUCUGUGUAUCACAACUGUUUUGGAAAGGGUUUUCAAAGACCCAUGGUGGCAGUGGUGGGAUACAAGGUGCCUUUGGCACUGCAUCUUCACAGGCUGGGCAGAGCUAUGGUGCUCAUUUUGGAGAACAGUGAAGCAGCAUGGACUUCCAGCUACAUUUCCAUGCAAGGAACUAUUGAGGGUGUCAGACCAACUGCAGGUCACAGCCAAAAGAGGGAAAUCUGCCCACGGACACCCAUUCUGCUCCCCAUUUACUCUGAGUCUUUCUGCCCACCUCUAAAUGCUCCAGUUAAUUGCCAACGUAGUGCUGAGCAGUGAAUAACCCAUGCUGGCUAAAGGGCUGCUGAGUCUUGCUUCAACUUUAGAAGAGAGAAAAGCAAGGACCAAACUAUGACUCUAAUGAUGCCUCUUCAGAGCACCGUCCAUGGGAGCUCAUUUAAUGCUGCUUGCUUAGGAAUAACUCAUGGGACAAGUGAACCUGGCUCCAAAUUUGUAGUGGAUAUUGUGCAACAGAAAGCAAAAAGGCAAAGAGCACAAAAUUUGGACCGCAAGUGUAUGCAUACAGUGAGACCAUUUGAGGACAAAAUUAGUCCCACUUUAUUUAACAGAAAUCCAGAAGAUAAACGUGUAUUGAUCAUCAGCCUACUGGGAGGAUGAAGGCAAUACCACCAAUAUCAAGCAUUGUGCAAUUGAUUAGCCAUAGAACCCACUUCUGUUACAUGCCACUCCACCAUAUGAGUCAGCCCAAACCCACUCAUUUUUGUAUUGCCCUUUCCACGGAUAUUUUCAUCUCUGUGUCAGUGAAUUGAAGAGUUAAUAAAAUUUCACUGCUGGAAGAGGUCAUUUUGCAACUAAAUGCAGCAGUUCAAAGUGGGAAAUGGAAGGAAAACCAAGGAGAUGUUUAAAGAGGUGGCAUUCUGGAGGCACUCCUUGAAAAACAUUUGCAGAAUUGUUUGAUUGCUUUAGAGCAUGCAGGAAACAAUAAACCCAACACAGAAAUAGCACUGAUGCUCACAGUUGCAUUCAGCUCAAACAUCACCAUUCCACUUGGAAUUACAAAUAAACCUGAUACUGAAUUACCUAAUACCAUGGAAAUUUUCCUGUGUGUUUUUCAUAGAAAAAUGCCCCCAAAAAGGGCACUUCCUUCAGCCUAAAUAUGAAGAAGGUAAGACCUGAAUCUGCAUAUUCAUAUUAAAACAUUUGCAGGAUUCACCAGCCUUAAGAUCUGUGUUUAAACAGUACAGAACUCCAAUUUAACUAUAUCUCAGACCAGCUAGAUCUUACAUUUUUGUCUUCUGACAGCAACUAUAGAAGAGUAGAGUUAGAAACCAUCAAUAUACAUGUGUUGUUUUUAUCUAAAAGAAGCAUGCUGAUGUAACUGGCUUUGCAUGUCAAUGUGUGGGCUCCAGUGUCUACCACUCAAGCACAACGUUCUCUUCACCUUCUAACUCUCAGCAUGCAACAUACAGAAUUCAAUAUUUCACCCAAUUAUUCUUGGAAGAGCAAGAAAUCAUAGAUAUCUAACUGCAUUGGAAUUGACUGUGCUGCUGGAAGGAGUGUGGUUUUUUUGUUAGUCUUGUUGCCAUCAAUGGGUACCAAUCAAAUCAGAUAAUCUAAAUAGCAGCAGAAAAAAUAAAAAGUAGAUGCUAGUUCUUUUCUUUUUUUAUUUAAUAACUCCAAUUAAUAAAAUUCCUUAAUUGUU